UACGUAGGGGGCAAACGUUGUCCGGAUUUACUGGGUGUAAAGGGUGCGCAGGCGGACUUGUAAGUCAGAGGUGAAAUCUCGGCGCUUAACGCCGAAACUGCCUUUGAUACUAUAAGUCUUGAGUUUGGUAGAGAUCCGUGGAAUUCCGAGUGUAGCACUGAAAUGUGUAGAUAUUCGGAAGAACACCAGCGGCGAAGGCAGCGGAUUGGGCCAAUACUGACGCUCAGGCACGAAAGCAUGGGGAUCAAACAGG
This 253-nucleotide ribosomal RNA is filed under the name uncultured bacterium. RNAcentral describes it as "partial 16S ribosomal RNA". It matches the Rfam family "Bacterial small subunit ribosomal RNA", at positions 524 to 776 of the family's 1533-position model. The record is from RNAcentral.